GAUGAACGCUGGCGGCGUGCCUAAUACAUGCAAGUCGAGCGAACAGAUAAGGAGCUUGUUCCUUUGAGGUUAGCGGCGGACGGGUGAGUAACACGUGGGUAACCUACCUAUAAGACGGGGAUAACAUCGGGAAACGAGAGCUAAUACCGGAUAAAAAUUGGAACCGCAUGUUUCAAAAGUGAAAGAUGGAUUUGCUACAACAUAUAGAGGGACCCGCUUCUAAUAGGUUAGUUGGUAGGGAAACGCCAUACCAGGGCAUCGUACCUAAGCGGCCCUGAGAGGGUGACGGCCCACACUGGACCUGAGACCCGGCCCAGACUCCAACGGGAGGCACCAUUGGGGAAUUUUGCCAAAUGGGCGAAAGCCUGACGGAGCACCGCCGCGUGGGUGAUGAAGGUUUUCGGCUCGUAAAACCCUUUUGUUGGGAAAGAACAUAUGUGUAAGUAAAUGUGCAUGUCUUGACGGUACCUAAACAGAAAGCCACGGCUAACUACGUG
RNAcentral lists this ribosomal RNA (497 nucleotides) under uncultured bacterium. Its description in RNAcentral is "partial 16S ribosomal RNA". It matches the Rfam family "Bacterial small subunit ribosomal RNA", at positions 28 to 507 of the family's 1533-position model. The record is from RNAcentral.